This 352-nucleotide ribosomal RNA is filed under the name uncultured bacterium. Its description in RNAcentral is "partial 16S ribosomal RNA". It matches the Rfam family "Bacterial small subunit ribosomal RNA", at positions 338 to 682 of the family's 1533-position model. The record is from RNAcentral.
CCUACGGGAGGCAGCAGUAGGGAAUCUUCCACAAUGGGCGAAAGCCUGAUGGAGCAACGCCGCGUGGGUGAAGAAGGUCUUCGGAUCGUAAAACCCUGUUGUUAGAGAAGAAAGGGCGUGAGAGUAACUGUUCACGUGUCGACGGUAUCGAACCAGAAAGCCACGGCGAACUACGGGCCAGCAGCCGCGGUAAUACGUAGGUGGCAAGCGUUAGCCGGAUUUAUUGGGCGUAAAGGGAACGCAGGCGGUCUUUUAAGUCUGAUGUGAAAGCCUUCGGCUUAACCGGAGUAGUGCAUUGGAACCUGGGAGACUUGAGUGCAGAAGAGGAGAGUGGAACUCCAUGUGUAGCGGU